GAUGAACGCUGGCGGCGUGCCUAAUACAUGCCAGUCGAGCGAACAGACGAGGAGCUUGCUCCUCUGACGUUAGCGGCGGACGGGUGAGUAACACGUGGAUAACCUACCUAUAAGACUGGGAUAACUUCGGGAAACCGGAGCUAAUACCGGAUAAUAUAUUGAACCGCAUGGUUCAAUAGUGAAAGACGGUUUUGCUGUCACUUAUAGAUGGAUCCGCGCCGCAUUAGCUAGUUGGUAAGGUAACGGCUUACCAAGGCGACGAUGCGUAGCCGACCUGAGAGGGUGAUAGGCCACACUGGAACUGAGGCACGGUCCAGACUCCUACGGGAGGCAGCAGUAGGGAAUCUUCCGCAAUGGGCGAAAGCCUGACGGAGCAACGCCGCGUGAGUGAUGAAGGUCUUCGGAUCGUAAAACUCUGUUAUUAGGGAAGAACAAAUGUGUAAGUAACUAUGCACGUCUUGACGGUACCUAAUCAGAAAGCCACGGCUAACUACGUG
This 497-nucleotide ribosomal RNA is filed under the name uncultured bacterium. RNAcentral describes it as "partial 16S ribosomal RNA". It matches the Rfam family "Bacterial small subunit ribosomal RNA", at positions 28 to 507 of the family's 1533-position model. The record is from RNAcentral.